Molecule: ribosomal RNA, 548 nt
Filed under: Clostridioides difficile
Lineage: Bacteria; Bacillati; Bacillota; Clostridia; Peptostreptococcales; Peptostreptococcaceae
Description: partial 23S ribosomal RNA
Rfam family: Bacterial large subunit ribosomal RNA
Source: RNAcentral
GGAGCCGUAGCGAAAGCGAGUUUUAACUGAGCGUUCAGUUACUUGACGUAGACCCGAAACCGGGCGACCUACCCAUGAGCAGGAUGAAGCGAAAGUAAAAUUUCGUGGAGGUCCGAACCCACGAGCGUUGAAAAGCUCGGGGAUGACUUGUGGGUAGCGGUGAAAUUCCAAUCGAGCCCGGAGAUAGCUGGUUCUCCCCGAAAUAGCUUUAGGGCUAGCCUCAAGGUGAGAGAUACGGAGGUAGAGCACUGAAUGUCCUAGGGGGUAUUGCACCUACCGAAGACUAUCAAACUCCGAAUGCCGUCAUCUUAUACUUGGGAGUCAGACUGUGGGUGAUAAGAUUCAUAGUCGAAAGGUCAACAGCCCAGAUCGUCAGCUAAGGUCCCUAAAUGUAAGUUAAGUGGUAAAGGAUGUGGGAUUGCACAGACAACCAGGAUGUUGGCUUAGAAGCAGCCACUCAUUCAAAGAGUGCGUAAUAGCUCACUGGUCGAGUGAUCCUGCGCCGAAGAUUUCCGGGGCUAAAACUUACUACCGAAGCUACGGCAUCA